AUCUUCCCAACUCGCCAGACCUCACACAACCCCCACCGUUUCUCCCGUCUCACUCACUUCUGCUCCCGGGCCCCCUUCCAAGCUCCAGCUUCGUUUUCUGACGACCCCCGGUCUCGCCUCCAGGUUCCCUGCAAGCCCUCUAGAUUCUGCACCAUCACUUCAGGGGCUUCUCCUGAUUACCAGGCCCAGUUUCCUUGGGAGAAGCUAGCCCCUGAACUGACCAGUCGUGUGGCCUGGGACAACUCACGUGACUUCUCUGGGCUUCCGUAAGGAUGAUGGAGAGGCGGGAGCGCAGGGUGUGCAGUGGCAGUUUGGCGAUGUCAAUGCCGUCGAUGAUGAUGCGCCCUGUGCGGAGACAGUAACACAGGCGAGAGAGAAGGAGGACUUCCCACUGCCUGUGCGGCCACAGAUCCCAAUCUGGAAAGAGGAGCAGGGACACGGAGCCCGUGGAUGCGCUUCACUGCCCCCAGCUGGAUCUCCAUGUCCGCCAGGUUCCUCACCAUCCAGUUGAGGGUCUCGCUAUUACAGUAAAGCACCUUCCGACUGCCUACACGACGAGGCCAGAAACGGAGGAAUCAUCUGGAUUCACAACCAAUCCCUCUACAAGACUUCUCACUUCCGCCUCCAAAGUAGGCCUUGCUUCUGCCUGCCUCUCUCCUGCUUGCUGUCCACCACAAACUCACCGGGCCUACUGCGUCAGCUUCCCCGUAGGUUUACCUGUGGUCUCCCCUGCUCUGCUGACAGCAGCCGGCAUGAUCUUUAUAAAUCAUAAAUUACAUCCCAUCUCACUCCUGCUUAGAAUAUCAAUGGCUCCGAGGCCAAAGAGCCACCUCCUUGCCGAGAGCCUGUGGGAGAUCCUUCCAUGCCACAAAUCCCCUUGCUCACUGCUUUGCAGCCACAGAAAUUACAAUAAUUUAUUACUUGCCCUUUCUCAGUUUUGUCACAAUACCAAGGUCUUUCUCACCCCAGGGCCUUUCACACGCUGUCCCCUGGGCCUGGAAUGCUUUCUCCUCCGCUCUUCACAAGGCUGACUCCUCUCAGCCUUCAGGCUUUACCUCAAAUGACAUCUCCCCAGGGUGGCCUUUCCCGGACCGUUGUUCUCCCUUUCUGCAACCUGCUUGUUUUAUAACCUCUGUUCAUGUGUUCAUUUCUCUAGGGGCUUAUCUCCCUCACGAGACUGUAAACUUAUGGGAAUGGAACCCACGGCUGUUUUGCUCACAGGGCAUCCCUAGCACCUGGCACUGUCAAUAAAUACUUGCUGAAUGAAUAAAUGGAAGCUUCCUUGACCCUCCAAGGGGGAAUACAACUCUACUACUGUCUGAUGAUUACUCUAGUAAGAGUACCCAACUGCCCAUCGAAGAGCACCUCCCAUCCCCCCUCCCCUGAGGCUGGCAAAGCCUGCCAUCACCUGGACGCCACCCGGAAGUACUUCUGGAUGAAGUAGCACACCACGGCCAGGGGCAAGAGGGCCACGAGGAACACAGGCGUGACGUAGGAGAUGACAGCCAGGGCUGAGACGCAGAGCAGGGUGGAGCGGCUCAGGCACUCCAGCGUGGAUGGGAUGUGCUGUCGGAGGGGAAGGCACACGUCUCAUCUCUCCAGCUACACUGUAGGUUCCCUGAAAGCAGGAAUCAGGACUUUGUUUCCUCACCAUCUAGUACGAUGAUAAACCAAAAACACAAGCUGAAUCGAAAGGAAUAUUCGCCACAAAAGCAGUCACCUUGGUUCAGACUACACUGGAACCUUACUGAUGUGAGCCAGGGGGUAUUGGAUGGAAGCCAAAGGGCUGUGGUUUCCCUCAGUCUUAUCUCGACAGCUUCACAGGGGCAGCCCCAGGCCCUCAGGCAGCCUUGUAAUCAGAUUGGAACCCACUGGGUUGGUCUCACAGGGCUCUGAGCACCAGAUCUGGGGAAGCCAGCCCCAGAGAAGAGAUGUGUGGGGCUGGCGUCUUUCUGAACUGGGGAAAUGGGUCACAGUCUUGUGUACCUGGUCGAUGGUGUUACAGUCAGCUGAAAAUCUAUUCAGGAUGCUUCCAAGGGGCGUGGUCUCAAAAAACCUAAGAGGAAACCAGAAGAAGUUAGUCAUCCGUUUAUUGAUUUCCUUCCUGUUUAUUGAAUGAGGGUAGUUAUUUCUUUCA
Lutra lutra (Eurasian river otter) is the source of this 2137-nucleotide long non-coding RNA. RefSeq lists it as uncharacterized. NCBI's taxonomy places the organism in Eukaryota, Metazoa, Chordata, Mammalia, Carnivora, Mustelidae. The record is from RefSeq and is a predicted model, not a curated record. The transcript is spliced from 9 exons.